GCCGGAUAUCUGUGGGAAACUCAGUUGGUAGAGCAUGAGACUCUUAAUUUUAGUGUUGUGGGUUUGAGCCCCACAUUGGGCA
Podarcis lilfordi (Lilford's wall lizard) is the source of this 82-nucleotide non-coding RNA. The record is from the annotation of a GenBank genome assembly. NCBI's taxonomy places the organism in Eukaryota, Metazoa, Chordata, Lepidosauria, Squamata, Lacertidae.